UUUUGUAUGGGAGAGAGUAAGGAAAGGGAAAAAGAGUCUUUGCCUGGUAAUCCAGAGUAUUCUUCCGGAGCUUAGACUUCAGUCAGCAAGUGAUGAAUCCUGCCAGGACUGGAUUUCCCUUCAAGGCAGUGGGUUCCCUUCUGGCUCAGGGUGUAUCUAGAAAUGUUGUAUAGUAGCUAUGGCCUAGAAUGGGGGCCUCAUGACUCUGCCUGGUGCCCUAUCCUACUGUGGCUGAGCUGGUAUCCAAGUUGCAAGAUAAAGUCCUCUUUACUCUCCCAUCUCCUCUCCUCAAGCAAAGGGAAGAGGUCUCUUUCAGAGAUGCAAGCAGUGCUGCCUGGUGUUGGCGAUGGAGCAGAUGGCAAAGCUAGCUAGGCUCAUGUCCUUCCCUUAUAGGCAGCGAGCACUGAUUUAGUCACCGUGGCUUGUGUCUUACUAGACUGUGUGCCUCCCAAGGCCACUGACUUAGAGCCCAGUACAGCAAUAGGACUUGCAUAAAAAUUGCUGUCCUUGUGUCCUAGACUGCUGUUCAAGUUUAUUUAGGACCUCAAUGCACUUUAGCCCUUGGUGGUAAGGCUUGCUGAAACUCAGGUUCCAGCCACUGGGAUGGGCAGUUCUUCUCUGGUUUGUCUAAAUGCUCCCUCUGUGGGCAUCAGUGGAGCUCUGCUCAGUGUUGGCAGCACUGUGUUCCAAUGCAAAGCGCCAUAAUUGCUGUGCUCUCCCUCCACCAAGUGUACAGAUUAUCUCUUCAAGACAGGUGACUGCUGCUGAGGAAUGGAAGAUGGAUGGCAUCAGAAUUCAAGACUCUUUUACCCAACCUCUUUAGUUCCUCUUUCAGCAAUAUGAAGUUAAAAUCAGAUACUGUGAUCACUCACCUGCUUUUUUUAAUUCCUAUGAAGCAUCACUCUCUUCUUGCUUGAAUAUUUAUGAAUAGAAGUGCAAUGUAAUUCUUCCCCAUGCUCCUGUAUAGUUAAAAUCCAUACACAGCCAGGAGCAACUUGUCGAAAAUUACCAUUUAAGUUUUCCUACCAGUUUAUUGUCUUAGCAGCUGCUGCUCAAGGUAAGCAAAUCUCUGCUGUAUCUCUGAUUCAAUAUAUUUCUACAGAUUUUGGUGUGAUGGUUUGCUUUAUUAAAUGCAAGUAGAGUCAGUAAUAUUGUCUGUCUAUCUGGUUUUAUCUUUAUGUUUUUGUAAUGACAGAAAUGAUGACUGCCACUCUCUGUACAUGUCAGACCUGGGAAUAAAAGCCCACUUCAUAGAUUUUAAUUUUCUUAUUUUUAGGACAGAAUGUGGUUAUAAAUUAUAGUUUUAAAAAACUCAUUUUAGUCAUGGCCUAAUACACUUCAUUUAAAAUAUUUUUAUGUAUGAAGAUUUUAAAAUAUUUUUGAAAAUAUAUUUGAUAAAAUUUUUUUUCUUAAUAUAACAGUUGUCAGUUGAUCCUGGUUCCUGAUUAUCUUAUGGUUAAGUUAAAUGGUAAUAGAGUGCAUAUUUCCCAUUGAGUUGAAGUAUUCAGGGUAUUUAGAAGUAUUUAGAGGACAUAUAGACUCACACGGUUUACUUUUUCUUCCAAAUCUGUAAGCAGAUAGGAAGGUUCUCCAGGGAUUACAGAAAUUUGGUCAAGUUGAGCAACAGCCUGUUUAGUCUCCUGACAUUCAGCCUGUUUUUCCCUAAAUCCUAUAUGGAAUACAGUCACCUUGUUGGUCAAAACCAGCUUCUAACACAACCUGGCAAAUUAUAAAUGAACCCAGGUGGACUUUCCUUAUUACCAUGCUAAAGUCUCCAUCAUGAGAGGAACUGCAGCUACAUUACAAUAACAUGUGACCUAUGUGCUGCCAUAAUGACUCACAGCGUCUGCACAACUGGAACUCCUCCUCUGCAUGCAAUGAUGCACUGUCUCCCCACUCUAUCACCCCAUAAAACCCUUCUGUCACUUUCCCUUAGAGAGACAUUGCUUUGGAGAAUACUCCCAGUGUUCUCCUUACUUAUGCCAAGUAAUCAAACUCUUCUUGAUCAAAAACUGCAUUCUCAUGGAGAGUCAUUUGUUACUUGCUAGGUGAACGAACCCCAUCUUUUUCUGGGUAAUAGACCCAUAGUCCCAAUCCUGGCCACAGAAGACUAACACAGCUGAAUGUUUUAUGACUUUACUAGAUCCUUAAAGAUAUUAUAGACUGUCAGAUAUUUUCCUAAAGAAAGGAAAUGUUCAUUUCUGCUCCAGAAAAAAAAUAUUAUAAAAUCCUAGCGUCAUAUUCUACUUAGGGGCCAGAGAAAGGAAGGCAGAUUUUAUAGUUACAAAAAUAUUAUUUUUUCAAAUGCCAAUGAUGACAUUUAUUUCUCUCAUACAAACAGUGAUAAAUAUGAUUAUUUUUAUAAAGCAUUUUGAGUUCCUUGAGAAAAAAAUCCAUAGUGUUAUCUGUGCUGUUUUUGUUUAGUCAAAAAGCAAGACUCACUCUAGCUUACAAUUUCAGAAAUCUUCCUGGAGGGCAAUAGCUGAGCAAAGUUGGGAGAGGGGGAAGAGCUGACUAAGAAAGGCCAUCUUUUUAUGUGGAAAGAAUGAGUUACCAUCAGAGAAAGAAAAAAAUGAGUACAUCAAGGAAGCAAAUAUAUCAAGGAAACAGCAGAAUGUCUCCUAACAACAACAACAAAAGGUUUCUACUUAAAAGAGCGUAAAGGAGCAGGCAGGACAGAAGUGUACUCAGAGAUCUUUCAUGAAAAUUUUGAGGAAAUGUUGAAGAAUUUGAAUUCAAUUUUGGAGGCAAAGUGGAGCUUUUGUCAAAGUUGAUGUAACAGAUAAUGAAGGUUUAAAGGACCAUAGUGGAAACAGAAAAAGAAAAGGAGCAAGGGAGUCGAAAAGAUAUUGAAGCCACAUUUGCAUGAUUUUAUUUUCAGAUAUAGAAAUUAAGGGAAGGUAGAAAUCAAGGUUGUUGUUUAGAUUUCUAGGUUUGGUGACUGAAUGGAUGUUGCUGAUACUUCCAGAAAGAAAAAAAAAAAGAUAAUUGUGGAGUGCAAUGGACUGAAUGUUUAUGCCUCUCCUGAAUUUAUAUUUUGAAAUUCUAACCCCCAAAGUAAUAUUAGAAUAUUGGGAUUUGGGGAAGUGAUUAGGUCAUUGAGGCAGAGCCCUGAUGAAUGGGAUUUCUGCCCUUAUAGAAGAGGUCCCAGAGAGCUCAUUUGCUCCUCCCACCACAUGAGGACACACUGAGAAGGCACCACUUCUGAGGAAGCAGGUCCUCAUCAGACACUGAAUCUGCCAGUGCCAUGAUCUUGGACUCCUAGCCCCCAGAACAAUGAAAACUAACUCUCUGUGUUUUUUUUAUAAGCCCCAUAGUCUGUGGUACUUUGUGAUAGAAGCUCAAAUAGACUAAGACAGGAGAAAAUGCAUUUGUAAUGAGGUGAAAAUUUGAAAAAAGGUACAGGCCCAGGUUGGUAUUCUGUGGAUGAGGAGUUUGUUAUCUGUGGUAUAUUUAUAGUCAAUAACAUAACACUUAUAGUAAGAGCUGUGAGAAUGAUUAUAGAGAGGAAAGAGUUAAGGUAAGGACUCCAAGAAAUAUCACUAUUAAAUUAAUAGAAAAAAAAGAGUCAAGGAAAAAGAGGGAAUACUAAUGUUUAAAUGGAAGGGGAAGCAGAGUGAGUGGUGUUACAAAUCCAAUUGGAAAAAUUACUGUAAGGCAAAAUAUGUGGUGAACAAUAUUGAAUACAGUGAGUUGGAGGUGGAGUAUGAAAUUCCCAUUGUUUUAUGAAAUAUAGAAUUCACUGGUAACCUUUUCCAAAGUAAAUUUAAUGGAGUCAGAGAUGUUAUCAAAUAAAGAAAUGAAUGGAAUAUGAUGAAGAAGGCAUCAGACCAAGACUAUAAAUAAAUUUAGUUGCAAAAUUAGAAAGAGAGAGAGAAAGAGGGAGAAAUACUGUAAUUGGGGAGAUAAAUCUAGGGAAUCUAGGGGAAGGUUGUGUGUACAUUAACAAGAAAGAUUUCAGCAUAUUUGUAGUGUGGGGGGAAGAGUAGGUAUCAAAAAUAAAGAUGAAGAUGCAGAAGUGAUGUAAGAAGGGAGGGGAUAUAGGGACAUGUUCUUUCCUGAGACUCUGGAAAAUUGGUUAGCUCUGUGUGCAGAUAUGUGUGUAGGAUGGAGAAGCUGUGGAAGACUAACAGAGAAUUGCAGAGACCAUGCUUCAUCAUUUGUAUAUCCUUCUUGUUUUAAAUCUGAGGUAAAAUAAUUUUGUUAGACAAAUCCACAAAUUUUUAAAAGCGAUUUCAUUUAAGUAAAUGCUUACCUAUUUAAAUUCUUUACAGAAAUGCAUGGUUUGUUAGUGGCCUGCCUUUGUGAAAGCAAACAAAUUUAAAACAAAAACCAACAAAGAGAAAUCAAGACAACUUGUGUCUGCUUAUGUGGUAUACUGAAUGUAAAUCCUGUAUUAUUUAGAACUUUAUGAAACAUUUGGGAGUUGCAUUACCUUAGGAAAACUAUGAUCACAUGUGAAUCUUGUAAUAUCUUAAUCAGUAGAAAAAGAUAAAUUAUUGGCAUGAAAAGAUAGAAAAUAAGAGAGGCUUGCACAUUUUUCCUCCUGUUCGUUCUUCACUCCAUUUUCCUUCCUACAUCUUGACUAGGCUCAGGUACAGGGCACCAGCUGCUCCAGGAAAUGCCACACCAGCUUGUGCACAGGUGCUUCUUACCCAUUGUGAGUGAAAUUGACUGGAAUCACACAAUCUUCGUCAAUUUCCCACUUGUAAAAAUCAGUUCUUCUAGGCAAGGGUGCUGCACUACAUUUGCUCUGCAGCUGGCAGUCCCAUAGAGCUGAGGUGGAGGAAGAAUAGGAGAUGACCUGCUGCCAGCACAUGAUGUGCCCUGUGUUAGUAAGCUCCCCUGAUUUUUAUCAGUAUCAACCACCUAUAUGAAGAGACCAGGAGAGUAUCUGGCUGAACUGAAGGAAGUAAAGAGUUUCUUGUUUUAAUCCUCAAGCUCCAUUCUAACUCAUAACUAAUGAGCUAGCAUCAUGCACAGCAGUACCAUCUUCCACAGGCAGCAAUUAUAUAAGAAUAGCAUCCCAAACUUGGUAAUUCUGUGACUGGCUGGCACACAGGCUGCUAGUGUGGGAAGAUGCUUUUCACACAGAUGUUAGCUAGAAAAUAGACUGAUGGAAGUGACUGUAGAUUACUGGGAUCACAAUAAGAAAGGACAAAGAUUUAAAUUUAAAAUCUUUAAUGCACAAGAUGAUUCAUGCUGAAGAUAUUUUUUCUUUGUGUGACUCAUGAGACUUCUAAAUGGGUGGAUUUCAAUUAAGAGCACAAAUAGAGGUGAUUUUAAUAACCAGCCUGGUGUGUUCUCCCAAUAACCUGAAUUGGAAUGUCCUAUGGACCUUAUCACAAAGCAGAUACCUAGAUUAUACCUCUGUUAUUCUAAUCAGUAAUUAUAGGUGAGGCAGAAGAAUCAGCCAUAUAUAACAAACAGGUGAUUCCUGUGCACAAUAAAGUUUAAGAACUACCAGUAUAUACUGACCUUGGUAAGGGACAAACAGGCAACAUAAUUAUGCAGAGAAAAUUCAAAGGCACUUUCAUUUUAAAUUUUACCAUUUUUAAACUAACAGCAGUUAAAUAAACUCUGAUGUGAACAAAUAAGAAUUAAAAUUAUAUGGAUAAAGAACAACUGAGUAAUUUUAGCUAUCAUUUGAAUAGCAAAAAUUGAUGUUUCUUUUUGCACAGAAGUACUCCUGGGCCAAGCAUUUGAAGCUAUUUGGUAGUUGUUACUGACCUCUUCAAGUGUGUUAGAGCUAGAUGGCAAACAUGCUUACUGGAUGAGAAGGCUCCAGUGUCUUGCUGGAACCAUGAGACUACCCUAACCCUACCUGUUAGGGAACUCAAUUUGCACAUCGUCACUUCAGCACACAAACAGAAUAGAAUGAGAUAGUGUAUCACUCUGUCAUCCAGGCUGGAAUGCAGUGGUGUGAUGGUAGCUCACUGUGGCUUCCAUCUCCUGGGCUCAAGUGAUCCUCCUGCCUCAGCCUCCAGAGUAGCUGAGAUUACAAGCAGGAGCCACUAUUCCUGGUUCUCUCCCAUUUCUAAAAUCACUGAUACUGUUCUUUAAUUAUAGCAAUCCCACUCCUGCUUCCAUCCCCGACCCAAUUUCUGACUUUGCCUCAGAAUCCAUGUCCAUAUGACUCCCCAUUUUCCUAAUCCCCAAAUUACAGGUAACCACAACUGAAUAAAUAAGUUACAUCAUGGAAAACAAUUCUUUUAGUUUAUAAACAUGUAUCAGAUAAAAGACAGCUAAUCUUCAAAAGGAAAAUUUUACACAAUGCUUGGACACACAUUAGCCUUCAUUUGCUUAGUUUGAAAAAGUCAAAUAUAGACUAAUACCUUACCUUACCUAGUAAUGAUAACUACCUUGACUUUAUUAUGGUUUUGAAUAUUGAAAUUCAUAUUUUUCAUAUCAAUUUACUUAUGCAAAAAAUUUAUGUAAUCAAGGAAGUAAAGAUGUUAUCCACAACAUCUUCGUUUUUUCAAUUAGUUCUUAGAAAAUUAAUUCACAAAAAGAUAUUAUUCAGCAAAACUGAACAUCAAAUUUAUAAUCUAAUCUGUUUAGGAGACAAUCUUUGAAAUUUAAUUAAGCUAGCUAGAACAAAGAAUGGUGCGUAUGAUUAGAGUCUACCUAUAAUAUGUCCAGAUAUCUGUUGUCUUAUUAGUCGAUCACUGUUGGAAAGUGUGCACUCCCACCCCUGCUAAAUGCACAACUAAAAUAAGAAUUUACACAUUGAAAUAAACUUUUUAAUGUUUAUACUGAACUUUCUGUACCAGUGAACAGGAAAACAAAGUGUAACUAACCAAUUAGUAAUGAAUCUUUCUCUUUUGAAAUACUGUAUAUUAAUAUCUGGUUUUCCAAAUAUCAGCAUGUCAUAUACAGAGUAGUUUCACUGUGGAAAAGAAAAGAGAGUGAUGAUUUUUAUAUACUGUUUUUAUGUCUGGUGGAAUUGCUAGCAUAAUUUCUGUGUCCUUAAUAGCCUUAGGAGCAAAACAUAAAAAUCAAAUGAAAAGGAGUAACAAAGAGAUUAUCAUAAAUUUUUUUGUAGCCCUAAAAUAUGUAAAAUCUUCAAAAACAAGAAGUUGUAUUUCAUGAUACUAUGCUGUAUUUCAGGCUCUGUAAUGAUCCCUUGUGACAUCUUCUUUAAUUCCAUCCCAGCUAUACCCAGGUGAACCUGAUGAGUUUUUGCUUGCCCAUCUUACAUUCAUAAUCUUUCAGAAUUUACACAAUAACCUUGUAAUUACUCAUUUUUAUUACCAAUCUCUUAGUUCCUUAAAGGUAUGGAUCGAAGUUUGUUCAUUUGGUAUCCUCAGCAACUAGAGUACAUUUUGUACGUAUCAAGCAGUCAACAAAAUUUUGUUGAAGCAAUAAUAAAAUCAUUUGAAAAAAGAGUCCUGAAUAUUAACAUAACAUACAUCUUUUGAAAAAUAUAGAUUAUUUUCCCACAGAUCUUUUUUUUCCUCUCUAGGUUUUAAGAAAUAUAAGAGUCUUCAGGGGCUAGGAGUGAAAAGUUGUUAACUCAGACCACUUAUGUUUCAAUCAUGAGACAAGUAACUUUUGGUAAAACUAUUCUCUAUGUAGAUUGUGUUGAGUUUAUUUAAAUCUGGAUAAUCUACAAUUAACGUUAGACUUUUAACAGUUUUCUAUUCACCACUGAACUGGAAGAAAUUAAUGGAUGAAUUAUUUUAAUUAAAAAUAAAUACUACCUAUGUAAUUGUAGCUUCUGUACUCACAUUACUCAAAAAUAUAAGAAUAUUUUGAGGCUUAGUAUUUGUCAAUUACUGAGAAUGUCACAAUAAUUACACUAAAAAAUCAUAAAUUUAGAAAAAAAUUGGUACAUAAUAUAUUUUUACUAUAUGUAAUCCAGCCUACUGGUGUCAUCUAUGCCUCACAACAUCAGUACUUGCUAUGAGCUCUGAAUGUAAUCUUGGGUUCUUUGAACCCAAUAUUUUAUGCCAAGAAGGCAUAAAAUACUAACAAAGAUAAAAAUAUAUUUAAAUAGAUAAUUGACUGGAGCUUAGAAUCUAUUCCAUGUUAGUUUACAAAAUGCACUCUGCUUUCUAUUCUAACAUUAUAUACCUUCUAUUAAUACUAUUAGUCAAUGAUUGCUACACCUAAAAAUAAAUGUUGUGUCAAAUUUUCUAACGUGUAUUUUUUUACUCCAACUCAUCUUUGUGUUAUUUAAAAUGAUCAUAAUGCUUUUGACUUUUUGAGAUAUCUAGUCAUUUUUGAGGCUGGCAUUUUCUAUCUUUCCAAUCUCACCUAUCAUACAUUAAAAUUAGAGAAAUGAAUGGAACUUCUGAUGAUAAAAGAAAUCAGUCAAGCAUUUCACAGAGGUAAUUGAGAGCAGAAAAAGAGGAAUGUGUUAUGUCUAAGGGGAGAAUAUUCUAUUUUAGAAAAUUCACUUGCAAUACAACACCACUUUUAGAUACCUUGUUUUUCUUCUUUCAUAUAUUAUGAUCAAAUACUAAGAAACAGGAAUAAUUAAAUGUAUAUACAUUUAUUCUACUGAAAGAAUAAUUCAUAAAGAGACAGUUUACCUUCAAAGAGAAAACAGCAUCUAAGGUGACCACUUCAUUAUGAAAGAGUGAACACAAACGAUGUGGCAAAGUUGUUGAGAUGAGAGACACAAGUUUCUCAUUUCUUAUCAUUACUUAAGAAUGUAUUUUUUCGGGGCAGGACUUUAUUCAAAAGAAAUUCACAUGAACCUCUGCUGAACCUCUAUAAUAGGUAUAAAGUGGCAAGUGAAGGGUUCUGUAGUUGUGGAUUGGGAGAGGAAAAAAAAUGCUAUUAAAAAUAAAAACGUUUCUAAAUUAUAUCAACAUUAUAUUCUGUAUCAAUGAUUUUUAUAUAUAAAAUAACUUAUAAUUAAGCAUGUAUCAUUAUACAUAUAGGAAAGGAGUCAUAUUGGGACUUGAAUAAAUAUUAUCUAU
RNAcentral lists this long non-coding RNA (8930 nucleotides) under Homo sapiens (human). RNAcentral's name for it is "HSALNT0191482". The record is from RNAcentral. Lineage: Eukaryota; Metazoa; Chordata; Mammalia; Primates; Hominidae.